CCCCUACACACAUAGAUGGCGCACUACAGUCAAACACCUGACUGUCGACCUCUCACAGCUGACUCUGACUGUAUACACUGUCAACAACGACACACCUCCCUCUUACAGUCCUCCUCACACUGCACUAUAAUCCUUUCAUUACUUUAAGUUAGUUGGGAUGGAUGAGUAUGAUCCCUUGCCUGAUGUACCAUUAUUUGGCACUGGAGAAGCCCGUCCAGGCCGAACGGUGAAUGCUGUGAUCGUCAUUGUGACAACAUUACUGGUGGUUUUAACGUCAGUAUGCGCAUUCAUCCCUGGUCCCAGUGCACUUGAUAUAUAUUUUGUCUUCUGCAUUAUCCUCAUCUGCAUCUCACAUCUCACUCUGAUUGUGUGGUACAAACAAGGAGACCUCGAUCCAAAAUUCAAGAAACUCAUCUACUUUAACACAUUAUGUAUUAUAUUGAUUUGCAUAUGUGGAAAUAUCUUUUUCCAUACAUCAACAGCAAAAGCUUGAAUGUACAGUACAGGCUGUCUUCAAAGUUAGACCAUAGUGUGGAACAAUUUACUGUGUUAUGAGGGUUUUUGUUUAUUACUGCUUUACUGCAUAGAGGGACCUUUCCCAGUCCACUUGUCGGGACAUCAAUAUGAUAUACUGUUGUUAUAAUUCAGUAUCUCAUUUGAUUAAAAGUAAGAAGGCAUCAUGUUAUAAAAUAUGAGGUAUAUACUCAUGAGAUGAAUUUUUUAUUUUAUUUUUUCAAGUGGAAAGGUUGACUGAUAAUAGGGCAAUUUCUUUAGAUGCAUGUAAAAAACUGUAUUUAUGAAUGUAAAUGAAAACAGUUUUAUUUCAUGCUAAACAGAGGAGCUUUAUCUAUACUGUACUGACAGUGCCUAUGCUAUAUAUUAUAUGCUAUUUAAAAGUUACAGUAAGAGUGUUAGCAUAAGUAUCUAUACUUUGCUGUAAAGAAUUGUGUUACUGUACAGUCUUGCAGCUUUUCUGUUUUAUACAAUCUGUAAUUAUACACCUGUAUUUAUAUUGUUUUCCAAAAAUUUAUAUAUGUUGACACAAGUUUUAUGAGUACCGUAUUUCUCGGCGUAUAAGCCGAGGUUGUAAGCCUCCCAAAAUUCCCCAAAAUCAUGGCGUCGGCUUAUACAGCAGAUCUAGAUCAUGAACCUUAAAAAUUUCUGGUGCAUAGCAGCGAGACACACAAUUUACUACUUACAAAUUUCAAUGUGACUGACCAUUCAGUUGUUAUUCUCUUUCUGAGAACCCAUACAUAAAACAACUUUGAAAUACAACUUUGUUAUUAUAAAGACAUGAACUGAAAUGGCCUAACAUACUAAAAUAAUAGAAAUACUGGCGUGGUGGCUUGAUCAGCUGUUAUUCACCCCAAGGACAUUAGUGUAAAAGAAAGUGUUGAAAUACAAAUUCUUUAUUUAAUACAUGGAUAAAAAAAAAAGACAUCAGUAAAAAUGUUAAAAUACAACAUAGAAUUGAAAUGGUUUAGAGUCUUUCAAAAUCUUCCUCUGAACUAGUGGUUCCUUCCGGUGAAUCCCAGUCCUCCGACUCGGCUGUGGCUUCGGCUUCGUCAUCAUCUUCCCACACCACAUCACCCUCUCACCAUCCAGAGAAUUGGAUAUGCAACAUUUUUUGAAUGAUUUUACUACUGUUUCUGUUUUUAUAGCAUUCCAAGAAUCUAUUUACGCUUCAUUGCGUAAAUACAUAUGGCGUUCCUGGUGAUGAUGUAUCCACUCUCUCGGUUCUCGUUGACCUACUCGAAUAAUUUCUCCUCCAGUUAUGGCCACUGUUGUUUACCUCUUCUCAGGGCACAUUUUGUUCUGGGGACGUCUAUUAACUUUUCUUCAUCCUUCUUCCACUCUCGAACCUGCUUCUCGUUAACGCCGAAUUCUCUUGCAGCUGCAGAGUUGUUUGACGCCUUUGCAUAUCUUACAACUUUUAACUUGAACGAUGCGUCGUAUUUCCUUCGUUUUGCGGGUGGGGCCAAUUUACUAUAAGGUUUAAAGACAACCACCUCAUAGAUAUGGAAAAUACCAAAUGGAGAGAAUGUGGUAAACAGAUAAGAGGUCGACUAUGAAGGUGAGUCGGUGCAGUAUCGAACAUCAAACCGCUCAUAAUGAGUCGAGUUUGGGGGUCGGCUUAUACACACCACAUCAGCCGAGAACUGAUAUUUCGGCUAAAUAUUCGGGGGUCGACUUAUACGUCUGGGCGGCUUAUACGCCGAGAAAUACGGUAUAUACUAAGGUCUAAAAAGGUUGUAUUUGAAGUAACUUGGCCAAAAAUUUUGGGUUGGUAGAUAGAAUUGUUUAUCCUAAAUUUUAUUACCAGUACCAAGACCCAAAUACAAAUUACCAGUGAAGGUAACUUCCAGUAUAAGUUGUAAUCCUUAUACGCAGUAAUACCUCCAAUAGCCGGAACGAUUUUGGGAAUGAUUUUCCGAGGGGCACAUUUUCUGGCGAAUGCAGAGAAACUUUUCCCAGUACCCGGAAAAUUCCGGGGGGUGGGGGAGUUUUUUCUGGGUUUGAGAGAUGAAAAUCAGGCGCAUUUUCCGGAAAUUCCAAGAAAAAUUUUCCGGAACCAAGAAAAUUACGGGGACAGGGGAUAUUUUUCCAGGUUCGAGAGCUGAUGUAAUGCGCAAUUUCUGGAACUUCCGAGAACAUUUUUCUGUUACCCGGAAAAUUCCAGGGAUGAGGGAUAUUUUUCCGGCUUGGAGAGAAUCGUCUCGGUUCCCAGAAAUCUCUCAUUCCUGGAAGUGCUCUGCAUCAAUUGUUCCUGCUAACGGAGAUGUCACUGUAUUUCAUACUGGGCUUCUGAAAAUUUAUUUGCCUUGAUUAUCUCCUGAAUAAAUUUCAUUUUUUACAAAAUAAGAUUAUUGGUUGCGACUGUUGGAUUACUGCAAACAAAGCAUUUAUUUUUCUAUGCCUUAGGCAUUUGUAGGAAUUAUAAUAAAUUGUAGCCAGCAGUGCAGUGUUUGUAAUAGCAAAGUACAACAAAAAUCAGGCUAAAUACUAUUAUCAGAUAUUGAGAAGUAAUACGUUUCAAGCUAAUAACAUUGAGUGAUACUUGGGUUAUUUGUAGUUAUGUUCUCAAAUAUAAUGGAUCUGAUACUCUAUACUGUAUCAUAUGAAAAUUGAUGCUUGCAGCUAGUGCAGAAGCUUUUGAUGUUGUCUGUAACAGCGACAUAUUUUGUAAUUAAGAGUAACAUUAUACCCUUGACUUAAAGUUGUGAUGAUAUUCUUUUGAAGGUCCAUGUAAACCUACUUUAGAGAAUGAUAGAAAAGACCAAUUAUUGUUGAGAUUAUGGAAACAAGUUUAUAGGAAAUGUAAUAUGCGAUUAAAAGUGGUAAUACAAGUUGGAAGGUAUUUUAUAUGGUAUGAAAUGUUGGGCAAUACUAUAUACAGCAAAGGAACACCGGGAGUGUCAUAGUACUGUACUGUUAAGCUUGUUGCAUAGUCUCUUUAAUAAAUUAUUGUGGAAGGCUGGAGGAAGUGUUUUAGAGGUUAUGGAGAUGGUCAUUUGAAAGCAUCUUAAUACAUGAUUGAAUGGGCAGAAGUGUGUUGAUGAGUUUUUUGGGAAAGUGCCACAAUUGCUGCAGGUGAGUAACGCUGACUUGUGUGCAGAUAGUGCAGGAAUAGGGGUAAACCGGGUUUGGGACUUUGUUGUGGAAAGGUAGUAUCAUAGCAGAAGACAUCUUUUACAUCAUUAAAAGUGGAGGCGUGACAAUCAAUUAAAAGCAAAAAUGUGUGUGUGUGUGUGUAUUGCUCCUUGUGUCUGGCCACCUUGUGCACUGGCAAAAAUGUUUGAAAGAGUUAAAAAAAUAAAGCAUUUUGUACGUGGUCAGUAGUAAAUUUUUUCUCACAAGCACAACUUUUUGGUAUGUAUCAGUCAUCUUGAGUAAAUGAAUAAGGGAAUAGAUUUUUCUUUGUGCUGUACUGUAUAAAUACAGGGAGACCCCAAUGUACAGUCGGCCACAAGAAUAAGUAUACGAGGUCUGUAAAAAACAAAUUAAAAAAAAUUUAUUGCGUUACUUACAACUUAAUCAGACUUGUCUCCUUCAAAGUACUCCCCUCCAGUUCUGGAAAGGGUCCUGGAACGCGUUUUGAGGGAUGGUGCGCAGGUCUCGUCGCGAAUUUUCUUCUAUCUUCUGAAAUCGGCGACCUUUCAAGGUGGAUUUCAACUUUGGGAACAAAAAAGAGUCCGCAGGGGCCAAAUCCAGAGAGUAGGGCGGCUGGGGGAUGAUAGUCGUCUCGUGCUUCGCCAAAAAGUAACGGAUAAGGAGCGACUCGUGAGCAGGUGCAAUGUCAUGGUGCAGCAUCCAGGUCAUGUUUGUCCACGCCUCAGGCCUCUUCCUUUGCACUGCCUCCCUCAAACGCUUCAGGACCUCCAAGUAAAACUCUUUAUUGACUGUCUGACCACGUGAAACAAACUCAUGAUGAACGACGCCCUCCCAAUAAAAAAAAGACGAUCAACAUCACCUCCACAUUAGAGCGAUUCUGGCGUCCAGAUUUGAGAUCGUCUUCGGUGGAUGUUCUUCCCCUUUUGAAACGCUGGUGCCACACAUGACAUUGCGUACGGCUCAAACAAUCCUCCUCAUAAGCCUGUUGCAACAUUUUAAAAGUCUCUUAAAAGUUUUCCCAAUUUCAAGCAGAAUUUCACGCAAACAGGUUGCUCUUCAUGAUCCUUCAUUGUUCAACUUGCAACAAAUCGCCAAGUGCACUAAACACACGUUCACUCUAGCGAGUGUAGCUCGAUGACUAAUUGAUGUGGCGUGAUGCGACUAAUGUUAGACUAAAGGUCAAGGUCACCGCUACACAGCGCUCCCGUCAUGAGCAUGCUGUGCCGGCUCGUUGGCGUGCUAUUUAAAAUUUUUUUUUUUUUUUGGACAGACCUCGUACGCCUACGGUUCGUGUUUGAGACAAAAUAUAUGGUAACACUGUCCUGAA
RNAcentral lists this long non-coding RNA (4939 nucleotides) under Homarus americanus (American lobster). RNAcentral's name for it is "uncharacterized LOC121874557". Lineage: Eukaryota; Metazoa; Arthropoda; Malacostraca; Decapoda; Nephropidae. The record is from RNAcentral.